RNAcentral lists this long non-coding RNA (586 nucleotides) under Homo sapiens (human). RNAcentral's name for it is "non-protein coding lnc-KCNS3-3:4". The record is from RNAcentral. Lineage: Eukaryota; Metazoa; Chordata; Mammalia; Primates; Hominidae.
GCCCUGGAGCAAGCUUUUUGUGAUGCUUCUAUGGCACCAUCUGCCAACUGGAAAAAUGACCCUGCUCUGCACACAGACCUGUGUUCCUGUGGGCGGAGACCCCUCUGUCAGUUCUCAGAUGGGGAACCUGGAGCAUAGAGGGGGAAGCCACAGUUUCUUCAUUUACAAGGAUUACAGUCACCUUGCCAGUGAGUCACAAAAGCAAGCAAGCAGUCCCAUCUGAUGUGCAAAAGGCAGACGUGAAGGCAGGUGCUGGAGCUGAGAGCACAUAGAAGGGGCACCCAGCCCAGGAAAGCGAUAUUCACAGGAAGAAUUGAGGACGGUGUAACAGAUCACCUGAGAAGCAGGGAAGAUUAGAUUUUAAAUGAUGAUGGAAGAACACUCAGCAUAUUCUGGAUAUUAGAGAACUGAGGAAAUAAAGACAUGAGUCAACUUCCCAGCAAUGGGCCCAUCCAGGGUAAACUAGACAUCUAUUCAUCAGAGAGAAGAGGUGAUGAUGCAUUGCUGCCCCCACUUCUCAACAAACUCGGCAACUGAUUCACGGCUAUGGGAUGAAAUCCAAAAACCAAGGGGAUUCUCAUUCUUG